GGUUGGAGCUCAAGCCUUUCGAGAUUGAUGUUAUCAAUGUUGUUCCUGGCGCUAUUAAAUCAAAUGUUGAAAAUUCAAAUAUAGCCAGCUACAACCAGAUGCCACAGUGGAAGUUAUACAAGCCAUUUGCAGCUGCAAUCAAGAGGAGAGCAUAUUUUCCACAAGGAACCAAGUGCACCCCUACGGAAAAGUUUGCAAAGAAUACUGUAUCUGCCAUACUGAAGAAAAAUCCACCUGCAUGGUUCUCGACAGGUCACUACUCCACCAUUAUGUCGAUCAUGUACUAUCUCCCACUUUGCGUUAAAGAUUUUAUCAUGGGGAAUUAUUUAAGUGUUGAGCCCUAGAGGCUCUGCAGGUCAUCUUUUGCAUGUGUAUAGCAGACUGCUCUAUGUUUUUCUUUCUUUUUUUAACAUAAUCCUUACACAUAGGUAGCCUAAAGUCGCUCAUAUUCAGACAACUUUCCUGCAAGAUUUUUCACCUUAAUAAGCACUUGAUCUGGUGAUUAUUCAUUUAUUCACUGUGUCUGAUGUUGGCAGAUCACUAUCUGAUCUAGUGCAGGAUCAUAAAUAGCUGAAGUCUGGAAUCGGAAUCGAGCAGAAUGAGAAAUGAAAUUAUGAUUUUUUUU
RNAcentral lists this unclassified non-coding RNA (625 nucleotides) under Hevea brasiliensis (rubber tree). The record is from RNAcentral. Lineage: Eukaryota; Viridiplantae; Streptophyta; Magnoliopsida; Malpighiales; Euphorbiaceae.